RNAcentral lists this ribosomal RNA (465 nucleotides) under Vreelandella stevensii. Its description in RNAcentral is "partial 16S ribosomal RNA". It matches the Rfam family "Bacterial small subunit ribosomal RNA", at positions 338 to 795 of the family's 1533-position model. The record is from RNAcentral. Lineage: Bacteria; Pseudomonadati; Pseudomonadota; Gammaproteobacteria; Oceanospirillales; Halomonadaceae.
CCUACGGGAGGCUGCAGUGGGGAAUAUUGGACAAUGGGGGGAACCCUGAUCCAGCCAUGCCGCGUGUGUGAAGAAGGCCCUCGGGUUGUAAAGCACUUUCAGUGAGGAAGAACGCCUGGUGGUUAAUACCCAUCAGGAAAGACAUCACUCACAGAAGAAGCACCGGCUAACUCCGUGCCAGGAGCCGCGGUAAUACGGAGGGUGCGAGCGUUAAUCGGAAUUACUGGGCGUAAAGCGCGCGUAGGUGGCUUGAUAAGCCGGUUGUGAAAGCCCCGGGCUCAACCUGGGAACGGCAUCCGGAACUGUCAAGCUAGAGUGCAGGAGAGGAAGGUAGAAUUCCCGGUGUAGCGGUGAAAUGCGUAGAGAUCGGGAGGAAUACCAGUGGCGAAGGCGGCCUUCUGGACUGACACUGACACUGAGGUGCGAAAGCGUGGGUAGCAAACAGGAUUAGAUACCCCGGUAGUC